GCUUGUCUCAAAGAUUAAGCCAUGCAUGUCUAAGUGUAAAUACGUCUACACUGUGAAACUGCGAAUGGCUCAUUAAAUCAGUUAUCGUUUAUUUGAUGAUCUCUUGUUACAUGGAUAACCGUAGUAAUUCUAGAGCUAAUACAUGCGUCAAGCCCCGACUCACGAAGGGGUGUAUUUAUUAGAUACAAUCGACGCCGUAAGGCUUUUGAUGAAUCAUAAUAACUGAACUAAGCGCAUGCUUCCGCGGCGCUGUUUCAUUCAAGUUUCUGCCCUAUCAGCUUUCGAUGGUAGGGUAUUGGCCUACCAUGGCGUUAACGGGUAACGGAGAAUUAGGGUUCGAUUCCGGAGAGGGAGCCUGAGAGAUGGCUACCACAUCCAAGGAAGGCAGCAGG
Molecule: ribosomal RNA, 392 nt
Filed under: uncultured Bicosoecida
Lineage: Eukaryota; Bigyra; Bicosoecida
Description: partial small subunit ribosomal RNA
Rfam family: Eukaryotic small subunit ribosomal RNA
Source: RNAcentral